UGUUUGCCUUUGUUAAUAUUUUUAUAGUGUAAUCUUGACGAAAUUUGUGAUUAUAGAAGUGUAAAAUACAAUCUUAAUAGUGUGCAAACUUACAAUUCCAAUUAAUUAUAGUCGAAUUUCGACUACUGCGGGACCUCUAGUUGUUUAUAAGUUGAUUUCGAUAAACGAGUAAGAGAUUAGAAAGCUCGGACAAUGCUAUUGUCAAUUUGAAACGUCAAACAAAAGGUUUCUACAACGGAAUUGUGAAUUUUUAUAACCUAAAAGCCAUCUUCGAUGGAAACGAGACUUAAAACAUUAAACAACUCACAAGAACAAUAAGUAAGUAUCAACGCAAUAAUGGAACCGAUGGCUUAGCAGCUUAAGCCAUAGGCUUUCAAAUUUGAGGGGCGCGUGUUUGUAAAACAAAAUUGCAACGCCUCGUUGUCGAUACUAAUUUAUUACAUGAAAAAUUGUAUGUUGCAUUUGAAGCAUUCUGAUAUUAUUAUGACUGUCUUUCUGUAUUUAAUUUCUCGGAUGUAGAAUUCAUAUAUCAUAGUCAUUAUUCGUAAUAAGUAUUUACGUGGUACUAGAUAAUGACCGGUUUUUUUUUAUGAUAACGCCAUCUUGUUGUGUCUUUAAAGCGAUUAGUUGCCCUCAAUUAAGAAAAAUAGUAUUAUUAUUCGCCAAUAGAUGACGGGAAGAGUUGAUUAUUGAAAACACGAAUAAAACAACAUUUUCUGAAAAUAAAUCGUAGCUAGAUCGAUUUAUCGCCCCCGAAAUCCCCUGUAUACUAAAUUUUAUGAAAAUCGUUGGAGCCGUUUCCGAGAUUCAGAUUAUAUAUAAGAAUUGUUCGUUUAAAGGUAUAAAAUAUAAGAUUUACGUUUAGCUUAUACAAUUAUUGUUUUUCAUUUUUCAUAUUUCAUUCAUUUCUUUCGUUUCAUUCAUUUCGUUCUUUUAAUUCAUAUUUAUUUAUUGCAUAAAUGCAUGAACCAGCUUACGAUUCCCCUGGUGUCAAGUGGUUACCGAAGCCCAUAUACCACACAAUUAAUAAUGUUAUAUAUGUAUAUUCUGAGGUGAGGCGUUUAUUACAGUUAAGGCUUACUCAGAAGGAUAGCUCAAAAUAGGAUUACCAAUUAUACAAAUUAUAUCCAUGAAAUUUAUGAUCCAUUGAUCAUUGUGCAAUUUGAGAUGGGACAAGGUAACAUAAGGCUUAAGUCGUGCUCAUUUAAGUUACUUUUUUAACUUUCAUACGAUUUUUCAACACUCAAGCUUAUUUGCAAAGAGACAGCGAAGGAUCGCAUCCUAUGGAAAGCAAUCUCAGGAACAAUGAACAUGCAAUGAGCAUUCUUAAAUGACCCUUGAUGCAUUGUAGUUGAGCUUAUCUUUUGUUUCUGGCUGAGUGCUCUGUCAUUGUCUUCCGCUUUUUGAGGUAGGAAAUCGGAAUCUAAAUGCAUAUGUCUUCCAAUCUCUUCCAAUGCAUUCUAAUGAAACUUGCGGUCCAAUCCAAGAAAAUGAAAUUUUUCAUGGGGUUACGGUUCGGCUGUCGGAGGGUGUGUCCAAAAUCCAACCCAACCCAAACAAAUAGACAACACAACGUGAAUACCGCCACCCACCUUGAGAUAUGAGCUUAAAGUCUCAACUAUAAAUUAUAUAAAGUUUGUCCUUCCCUUAAACUGCUAGGCAGCGGCCUGGCUCUGCCCCUGGCAUUUCUGAGGUCCAUGGGCGACGGUAACCACUCACCAUCAGGUAUCAUCAGGACGUAUGCUCGUCUAUCUACAAAGGCAAUAAAAAUAAAAAAGAACGCAAGACAGUUAAUUCUUAUCAUUUCGUACACGGAUUUCUUACACGCUGUUUUAAUUUUCUUUGUACAUAAGUUCAUGACAAGACAGCAAGCAACAUACAACACUUGAAAACAAAAGCGGGCCAUAGUCCCAUUCAAUGUCACAACGCCCUCUUUCGCUUGGGGCUUAGAAAUCAUAAGCCUAAUUCUUUCACGUAAGUUUGUCUUAACAAGAAAACACUUAAAAUAUGCUAUCGAGUAAUCGGCUUCAUUUCUCAAGAUGAGCGCCGGCAUUUAAGUUAUGAUGUCCACAAGCUCAAGUAUCUCAACAUCAGAUCGGACGUGAGCUAAUCACUCGCCUACAAACAGAUAAGCCCGGUAAGUUAGCGCUAGUACUUCUCAAGAGUUUGGCUCAUCUUUGAAUCGGUAUUAUAGUUUACUUUCAAAAAGAAUUUAUAAAAUUAAUUACAAAUAUAUAAAAAAAAAAUUACGUUCCUUCUAUUCAUUCCCGAUCCUCCUGACGCAAAUUAUAGACUGCAACUAAUAAUAGAUUUUAGUCGCUUGGCUGGUAGUAAACUGGGUCCGCUUACGUCAAUAAAAUAAUGGUAACUAUGCCCGCUUUCAUUAGGUUACUUAUAGAAAGAGUGUCAGAUGUCGGUUUAAGCUUGUAAGGAUUAUUCUAGAUGCGAAAAAAUAUUAUACACGCACCCUACCAAACUUUAUCAUAUUAUUAAAUAAACCGGCCAUUUUCAGUACUUUUACAUUAAUCAUUCCAACAAAUCAGCUCUCAGUUUUCAUUCAACAUGACAAGUUAACAGUCUUUUUGAAAAUUUUAAGCACACAUUAUAACGUGCCAUAAAUAUGAAUAGCCCAACUCCAUCGACAUGCCCGCGAUUAUAAAUUAUAACUGUUUAUCGUAGAAGCUUUUGUUUUUUUUUUUCGAUCCAGUGCUUGGCUGUGUUCCAGAUAAUCUUGGACGUGUGUAUUAAAUACCUAUCAACAGAUGGAUAGAUUAAAAUAAACACACCUUAAUUUAUUUUAAUCUAUACUAAUAUAUAAAUCUACAGUGGUUUUUACGGAUGUUCCGUUAUAACUACUGAACUAUGCAUCCGAUUGACUUGAAACUUGGUAUCCGUGUAGAAGAUACAUGUACUUAAUGGAUAGGGUAAUAUUUAUACGAAUGUUGGACUCUCUACACCAGUUGCGGGGGCGUUAAUGAUGAUAAUCUUUGUAGGGUAAGAAAUAAUAACGUUAAUUUGAAAUGCCCAGCGAAGCGGACGGGUACAACUAGUAUCUAAUAAAUGUAGACUAAAUUAAAUAAUUUCAGCCAUGUUUAAACAGAUAAAUUUUGGGAAUAUUUCAGAAAAUCUAAAAGAUGGGAACAUUUUCAUUUCGCUGACCUCUGGAUUCUCAUCGUCCUGGCUAUCCUUGCCACGGAACCCAUACGUAGGUUCGAUCCCGGACUUACAUAUACGGGAUUUCGGUGCACCAAAUUAAUUUAGGACAACUUUUCAACAACCCACUCUUAAAUAUUAUACAAUAUAAUAUAUAUCAGUACAUCACACAAUUAGUAGCUUUAGUACAAUUAGUGAAUAAACAUAGAGACAAAGUCAUAGAAGGCGAGGGAGAGUGUGACAAGAUUUUUUAUUUUAUUUACCAUGUUUUUAUUUCUAUAAAACAUAUUGCAGGUUGUGUUUUGGUUGCUAAGCUUUUUUAUUAUAUAAUAUAUGACGGCGUUAACAAUAUUUCUAAUAAACAUCACGUGCAACAGGCGUGACUCACACAAGCCGGGUGCGCCGGCCGUGUCGUUCCACUCGUGCAACAGAAGUGACUCAUAAGCCAGCUGCGCCGGCUAGUAUAAAAAGGCGGUGCGUGCCUUGCGAGAAACAUUCGUUGGACUGCGCUUGCCUGGUGCACUUACUAUAUCCUUGUUACGUUGUGUGAUUCAGUGACUGUUGUACGUACUGGUUAAAGUUGGACAAGUGUUAAAGUGAAUUGUUAAGAUAACAUAUUGUUGAUUAAAUCAGGAAUCAGAAGUGACAUCGUUUUACUUGGUGUUCAACAAGAUAAUGUCUACCCUCAAGCUUACAUCAGAAGUGGGAUCAGGACUCUACUCUCACUGGCGUGACGUGUUUGAACAUGUUCGAAGUACAGCAAAAAAAAAAACAUGAUGCAGAUCAGAAUACUAGUAGUGGUACGCCACAAGAGCGUGAAUGCAGCAUACGUAAGUCGUGUAAUAACGUCUCUGUUACCUCGAUGGAAGAUCUGAGCCACGAAGAAAUCGUCACAUCUUACGUUCUGGCUCAUGUUGCCCAGUUUGACUGUCGACUUCAUCACAUGGCAUUUACUAACGGAAAUACAACACGUUCGAUCGCAAUAAUGGAUCUGUCGUGACGAGUGGGUAGUUCCGACACGAAUCGUUUUUAAGCCAAUGACUACUGCUAGAGUUACAUGGCACUAGUACAGUAAACCAGGACAUGAGACUGUGAAUUGUCGCUGAAAUUUUAGAAUCUACUCGAUUCAAUACCAAUAACACUACACGUUCGAUGACUUCGGGCUCCAGCAAGCAAGCAAACAAGAAAGCAAGCAAGUUUCCGUGGGGAAGAAAAAUUGACACAUCUGAAGUCGUCGUGACCUGUAAGAUAAGACGUCCGGUGCGUUCGUGUCUGGCGAUGCGGCGGUGUUCGGGUUCCGCUGGCGGAUGCAGGUUUUUCCGGUGAAGUGCGUGCUUGUGCGUGCUUGACAAGUGUUCGCGGUUGGCUUCCUCAGUGUGGGAGUAACAUCGUGUAAGAGAGGUGGAACCCGUAAAAUUGUAGUUUGCGUGGUGGCUGGUAAGAUUUGUUGCGGUAAGAAGUUUGCAUGGUGGUAAAAUGUCUUGUGAGUCUGCACAGGUAGCCGGAGGUGAGACUUCCACGGUCGCGGCCCACCCAGUCCGCGAGAACCGGGCAGAUCGCCUCGACGGUACGGAGGCCGGCCGACGGGUCCGCCAAACGACGAGACCACGCCUCCAGCACGGACUGCCGAUAUUGGAGCCCCCGCGCUCCGGCUGCACUUGCGCUAGGGCGCGCCGCCUCGUAGGAGACUGUGAGCCUGCAAAACCUGAACAACCUCCUCAUCCGUGGGCGCCCGGCUCUCGCCUGCAAGUCGGCUGUUACGUGUGCGGUGAUGCGAGCCAUGUAGCUUCUGGGUGUUCCAUGCGCUACAAGAAGAAAAACGACACUGCUCCAGGUGCUGUGGCAGGUCCAACCAGAGACGUCAACGUGUGUUCCAGAGCUUCAGUGUGUUACAGAUAAGUGGUUUUGGCUCCCCCUUUAUGUUCCAUUCAGGGUCAGAAUGUAGUCUUAUAAAACAAAGCCAUAGUAAUUUAUUCAAUGGUAAGCGGUUUCAUGAACAAGUCACCGUAGUCAUCCUAGACACGUCCUUACGGAUCCAUCAGAUCCAAUAACUCUUGCAUUAGAUACCUUCAGCUCUAACACUAGGAGCAGGCUGAGGAACCCCAGUAAUCGUACUCGUCGAACUCGACAAAGAGGUCGACGUGCAACCUAACCCAUGCAUCAGCCCACUGAGUUUCUCGCCGGAUCUUCUCAGUGGGUCGCGAUUCCCAUCCGGUAGUAGAUUCAUUCGCGAAGCGAUUGCUCUUGAGUUGUUAGGUCUCCUGCGGAGGCGCUCGGGCAGUUGUUAGCAAAUCCCACCCCUCUUGGCUGAGCCUUUGCUCGCCCACCCGUCCUGGUGAAGCGGGAAAGGCCUCCGGGCCACCAUCUUUCAAUCAUCUGCAGUUUUGGAAAACGAUAGGUAUAAGUUGAGAUAUGUAAAUGGUUCUAGUGUACAAAGUUCCCCAUGAAAACUUACGCGAAGUACCUCGAGGCCCGUCAGGCCUACUAGAAAUUUCUGAAAAUUAUAGUGACGAUGACGUGACGGCGUACACAGAUGGGUUAAUUAAUCUUGUUCGUGAAACUGAUCUUAAUGAUGACGACUCUAUCACUGACAAUAGAAGCGACAUUUUUGUCCGCAAAUAGCGAUACAGCAAACAUAGUCUGUGGGUAGUGAUACAAUGUCUGUAAGCUCAGGCACCUCAGGUGCAGGUGUUGGAAAUGUAGAAAACGAUGGUCGGUCUCGCACUAUUUCUGAAGAAAUUUCGUAUAAAUGUUCUGGUUUAAGAAAUGUUUUAACAAACGCUACCGUACACGCAGAUAAAAAAAAAAAAAAAAAAAAAAGGAGAGAAUUGUAUGUGGCUAGAGAGAUGUUAAUCCGGACUAGCAAAAAAAAAAAGAGAAAAAAAAAAAAAAAAAAAAAGUGUGAAGUCAUUGAAGGGUCUGUCCGGUCCAAUGGCUUGGCUAUAGGGAUUUUCAUCCAGAUUAGCCACAACAAUUAGCUACAGGGAUUGCGAUCCGGUCUAGCAUUAUCCGGUCCAGUUCGAAAAACUGAAGGGAUAACAAUUCCGAUUUAAGUUAAAAGGGACAUACUUACAUACCUGAAGAGAUUUAAAUGAACUGGCCCAGGUAUGUAAGCAGUCAGUAUUUAUAGCCAGUAUAGGAUUUUCUGAAGAAUUAUGCGAACCGAACCGUAUUAGAUUGUUAAUAUCAUAGACCACGUUUUAAGUUGCAUCCGUUAAUGUCAGGAUGAACGAAUACGCUUAUUGUCUACAGAACAACCAUAAAAAGGCGCACGAGGACGAGCGCAUGUCAGUAUGGCCGUGACGGCGUUAACAAUAUUUCUAAUAAACAUCACGUGCAACAGGCGUGACUCACACAAGCCGGGUGCGCCGGCCGUGUCGUUCCACUCGUGCAACAGAAGUGACUCAUAAGCCAGCUGCGCCGGCUAGUAUAAAAAGGCGGUGCGUGCCUUGCGAGAAACAUUCGUUGGACUGCGCUUGCCUGGUGCACUUACUAUAUCCUUGUUACGUUGUGUGAUUCAGUGACUGUUGUACGUACUGGUUAAAGUUGGACAAGUGUUAAAGUGAAUUGUUAAGAUAACAUAUUGUUGAUUAAAUCAGGAAUCAGAA
Molecule: long non-coding RNA, 6761 nt
Organism: Bombyx mori (domestic silkworm)
Lineage: Eukaryota; Metazoa; Arthropoda; Insecta; Lepidoptera; Bombycidae
Exons: 2
Source: RefSeq, a predicted model, not a curated record